Molecule: ribosomal RNA, 477 nt
Filed under: uncultured Blastochloris sp.
Lineage: Bacteria; Pseudomonadati; Pseudomonadota; Alphaproteobacteria; Hyphomicrobiales; Blastochloridaceae
Description: bacterial SSU rRNA
Rfam family: Bacterial small subunit ribosomal RNA
Source: RNAcentral
UAGAGUUUGAUCAUGGCUCAGAACGAACGCUGGCGGCAUGCCUAACACAUGCRAAGUCGAACGCCUGUAGCRAUACAGGAGUGGCGCACGGGUGAGUAACGCGUGGGAACCUGCCUAGUGGUAAGGAAUAACCGCGGGAWACUGCGGCUAAUACCUUAUGAGCCCUACGGGGGAAAGAUUUAUCGCCAUUAGAGGGGCCCGCGUCCGAUUAGCUAGUUGGUGAGGUAACGGCUCACCAAGGCGACGAUCGGUAGCUGGUCUGAGAGGAUGAUCAGCCACACUGGGACUGAGACACGGCCCAGACUCCUACGGGAGGCAGCAGUGGGGAGUAUUGGRCMAWKGGGGGCAACCCUGAUCCAGCAAUGCCGCGUGAGUGAUGAAGGCCUUAGGGUUGUAAAGCUCUUUCGACGGGGAAGAUGAUGACGGUACCCGUAGAAGAAGCCCCGGCUAACUUCGUGCCWGCCGCCGCGGKAAUUC